Molecule: ribosomal RNA, 253 nt
Filed under: uncultured bacterium
Lineage: Bacteria
Description: partial 16S ribosomal RNA
Rfam family: Bacterial small subunit ribosomal RNA
Source: RNAcentral
UACGAAGGGUGCUAGCGUUGUUCGGAAUUACUGGGCGUAAAGCGCGCGUAGGCGGCUUAGCAAGUCAGGGGUGAAAUCCUUGGGCUCAACCCAAGAAUUGCCCUUGAAACUGCUAAGCUUGAGUGUCGGAGGGGAUAGCGGAAUUGCUAAUGUAGAGGUGAAAUUCGUAGAUAUUAGCAGGAACACCGGUGGCGAAGGCGGCUAUCUGGACGACAACCGACGCUGAGGCGCGAAAGCGUGGGGAUCAAACAGG